GACGUAGGGCGCGAGCGUUGUCCGGAUUUAUUGGGCGUAAAGAGCUCGUAGGCGGCUUGUCGCGUCGGCUGUGAAAUCCCCGGGCUCAACCCGGGAACUGCGUCCGAUACUGGCAGGCUUGAAUCCGGGAGAGGGAUGCGGAAUUCCAGGUGUAGAGGUGAAAUUCGUAGAUAUCGGGAGGAACACCAGUGGCGAAGGCGGCGACCUGGACAGGUACUGACACUCAACUACGAAAGCGUGGGGAGCAAACAGG
This 253-nucleotide ribosomal RNA is filed under the name uncultured bacterium. RNAcentral's name for it is "partial 16S ribosomal RNA". It matches the Rfam family "Bacterial small subunit ribosomal RNA", at positions 524 to 776 of the family's 1533-position model. The record is from RNAcentral.